RNAcentral lists this ribosomal RNA (250 nucleotides) under uncultured bacterium. RNAcentral describes it as "partial 16S ribosomal RNA". It matches the Rfam family "Bacterial small subunit ribosomal RNA", at positions 524 to 773 of the family's 1533-position model. The record is from RNAcentral.
UACGGAGGAUCCAAGCGUUAUCCGGAAUCAUUGGGUUUAAAGGGUCCGUAGGCGGGCCUGUAAGUCAGUGGUGAAAUCUUUCGGCUCAACCGGAAAAUUGCCAUUGAUACUGCAGGCCUUGAAUUAUUGGGAAGUAACUAGAAUAUGUAGUGUAGCGGUGAAAUGCUUAGAUAUUACAUGGAAUACCGAUUGCGAAGGCAGGUUACUAUCAAUAUAUUGACGCUGAUGGACGAAAGCGUGGGGAGCGAAC